CUACGGGCGGCUGCAGUGGGGAAUUUUGCGCAAUGGGCGAAAGCCUGACGCAGCAACGCCGCGUGAGGGAUGAAGGCCUUCGGGUUGUAAACCUCUUUCGGGUGGGAAGAAAAAAAUGACGGUACCACCAGAAGAAGCCCCGGCUAACUCCGUGCCAGCAGCCGCGGUAAUACGGAGGGGGCAAGCGUUGUUCGGAAUUAUUGGGCGUAAAGCGUGUGUAGGCGGUCUGGCAAGUCAGACGUGUAAGCCCACGGCUCAACCGUGGAAUUGCGUUUGAAACUAUCAGGCUUGAGUUCGGAAGAGGAAAGCGGAAUUCCCAGUGUAGCGGUGAAAUGCAUUGAUAUUGGGAAGAACAUCGGUGGCGAAGGCGGCUUUCUGGUCCGAUACUGACGCUGAGAUACGAAAGCCAGGGGAGCAAACGGGAUUAGAUACCCUCGUAGUC
This 442-nucleotide ribosomal RNA is filed under the name uncultured bacterium. RNAcentral describes it as "partial 16S ribosomal RNA". It matches the Rfam family "Bacterial small subunit ribosomal RNA", at positions 339 to 795 of the family's 1533-position model. The record is from RNAcentral.